GGGAAUGUGGCUUAAUGGUAGAGUGCUUGCCUACCAUUCAUGAAGCCCAGGUUCAAUUCCUCAGUACCA
RNAcentral lists this transfer RNA (69 nucleotides) under Dipodomys ordii (Ord's kangaroo rat). It matches the Rfam family "tRNA". From Rfam's summary of the family: Transfer RNA (tRNA) molecules are approximately 80 nucleotides in length. The record is from Rfam by way of RNAcentral. Lineage: Eukaryota; Metazoa; Chordata; Mammalia; Rodentia; Heteromyidae.